UUCCUGUACUACCGAUAACCGUUUGAGAGAAGGGAUGACACAGUAGGAUAAGCUAAGCACACUGUUGGUUAUGUGUGCCCAAGCAUUGAGGCAGUCAAAGUAGGCAAAUCCGCUUUGAUAAUGCUGGGAUGUGAUGGGGAGCGAAAUUUAGUAGCGAAGUAGCUGAUUUCACACUGUCAAGAAAAGUCUCUAUCGAGGUUAAAGGUACCCGUACCGCAAACCGACACAGGUGGGUGAGGAGAGUAUCCUAAGGCCAGCGAGAGAACUGUUGUUAAGGAACUCGGCAAAAUGACCCCGUAACUUAGGGAUAAGGGGUGCCACCAUCAGGUGGCCGCAGAGAAUAGGCCCAAGCGACUGUUUACCAAAAACAUAGGUUUCUGCUAAGUCGCAAGACGAUGUAUAGGAGCUGACGCCUGCCCGGUGCUGGAAGGUUAAGGGGAUCUGUUAGAGCAAUCGAAGCAGUGAACUUAAGCCCCAGUAAACGGCGGCCGUAACUAUAACGGUCCUAAGGUAGCGAAAUUCCUUGUCGGGUAAGUUCCGACCCGCACGAAAGGCGUAACGAUUUGGGCACUGUCUCAACAACAGACUCGGUGAAAUUGUAAUUCCGGUGAAGAUGCCGGAUACCUGCGACAGGACGGAAAGACCCCAUGGAGCUUUACUGUAGCUUGACAUUGGGUCUUGGUACUACAUGUACAGGAUAGGUGGGAGGCUUUGAAACCAGGACGCCAGUUUUGGCGGAGCCAUCCUUGGGAUACCACCCUUGUAGUACUGGGACUCUAACCAUAGGCCAUGAAUCUGGUCUUGGGACACUGUCAGGUGGGCAGUUUGACUGGGGCGGUCGCCUCCCAAAAGGUAACGGAGGCGCUCAAAGGUUCUCUCAGUACGGUCGGAAAUCGUACGUAGAGUGUAAAGGCAAAAGAGAGCUUGAUUGCAAGACAUACAGGUCGAGCAAGGAUGAAAAUCGGACUUAGUGAUCCGGUGGUUCUGCGUGGAAGGGCCAUCGCUCAACGGAUAAAAGCUACCCUGGGGAUAACAGGCUUAUCUC
Molecule: ribosomal RNA, 1045 nt
Filed under: Clostridioides difficile
Lineage: Bacteria; Bacillati; Bacillota; Clostridia; Peptostreptococcales; Peptostreptococcaceae
Description: bacterial LSU rRNA
Rfam family: Bacterial large subunit ribosomal RNA
Source: RNAcentral